RNAcentral lists this ribosomal RNA (459 nucleotides) under uncultured bacterium. RNAcentral's name for it is "partial 16S ribosomal RNA". It matches the Rfam family "Bacterial small subunit ribosomal RNA", at positions 338 to 795 of the family's 1533-position model. The record is from RNAcentral.
CCUACGGGUGGCGGCAGUGAGGAAUAUUGGUCAAUGGGCGGGAGCCUGAACCAGCCAAGUAGCGUGCAGGAUGACUGCCCUAUGGGUUUUAAACUUCUUUUAUAAGGGAAUAAAGUGCCCCACGUGUGGGGUUUUGUAUGUACCUUAUGAAUAAGCAUCGGCUAAUUCCGUGCCAGCAGCCGCGGUAAUACGGAAGAUACGAGCGUUAUCCGGUUUUAUUGGGUUUAAAGGGAGCGUAGGCGGUUGCAUAAGUCAGCGGUGAAAUCGUGGGGUUCAACCGUACCGUGCCGUUGAAACUGUGGGGCUUGAGUACGCGCAAGGUAGGUGGAAUUCGUGGUGUAGCGGUGAAAUGCUUAGAUAUCACGAAGAACUCCGAUCGCGAAGGCAGCUUACCGGAGCGAAACUGACGCUGAUGCUCGAAAGUGCGGGUAUCAAACAGGAUUAGAUACCCUAGUAGUC